RNAcentral lists this unclassified non-coding RNA (233 nucleotides) under plant metagenome. Its description in RNAcentral is "partial contains small subunit ribosomal RNA, internal transcribed spacer 1, and 5.8S ribosomal RNA". The record is from RNAcentral.
UUUCCGUAGGUGAACCUGCGGAAGGAUCAUUAUUGGAUUUUGAAACUUCAGGUUGCUGCUGGCUCUCCUCGGAGGGCAUGUGCACGCUUGUUGUCCAUUAUUUCUCCCACUGUGCACAAAUUGUAGACCUUUCAGUAGGCCUAUGUUGUUUUUCACAAUCUCUGAAUGUAAUAGAAUGGUUUUGAAUCUUGGGAAAUACAAUACAACUUUCAGCAACGGAUCUCUUGGCUCUC